UACGGGGGGAGCAAGCGUUGUUCGGAUUUACUGGGCGUAAAGGGCGCGUAGGCGGUCAGCACAAGUCAGUUGUGAAAUCUCCGGGCUUAACCCGGAAAGGUCAACUGAUACUGUGCGACUAGAGUGCGGAAGGGGCAACUGGAAUUCUCGGUGUAGCGGUGAAAUGCGUAGAUAUCGAGAGGAACACCUGCGGCGAAGGCGGGUUGCUGGGCUGACACUGACGCUGAUGCGCGAAAGCCAGGGGAGCGAACAGG
This 254-nucleotide ribosomal RNA is filed under the name uncultured bacterium. RNAcentral describes it as "partial 16S ribosomal RNA". It matches the Rfam family "Bacterial small subunit ribosomal RNA", at positions 524 to 776 of the family's 1533-position model. The record is from RNAcentral.